UACGUAGGGGGCAAGCGUUGUUCGGAUUUACUGGGCGUAAAGGGCGCGUAGGCGGCGUGGUAAGUCACUUGUGAAAUCUCUGAGCUUAACUCAGAACGGCCAAGUGAUACUGCUGUGCUAGAGUGCAGAAGGGGCAAUCGGAAUUCUUGGUGUAGCGGUGAAAUGCGUAGAUAUCAAGAGGAACACCUGAGGUGAAGACGGGUUGCUGGGCUGACACUGACGCUGAUGCGCGAAAGCCAGGGGAGCAAACGGG
RNAcentral lists this ribosomal RNA (253 nucleotides) under uncultured bacterium. RNAcentral describes it as "partial 16S ribosomal RNA". It matches the Rfam family "Bacterial small subunit ribosomal RNA", at positions 524 to 776 of the family's 1533-position model. The record is from RNAcentral.